GUGCUCGCUUGGGCAGCACAUAUACUAAAAUUAGAACUAUACAGAGAAGAUUAGCAUGGCCCCUGUGCAAGGAUGCCAAGCAAAUUAGUGAAGUGUUCCAUAUUUUU
Small nuclear RNA from Perognathus longimembris pacificus (Pacific pocket mouse), 107 nucleotides. The record is from RefSeq and is a predicted model, not a curated record. Lineage: Eukaryota; Metazoa; Chordata; Mammalia; Rodentia; Heteromyidae.